RNAcentral lists this ribosomal RNA (253 nucleotides) under uncultured bacterium. Its description in RNAcentral is "partial 16S ribosomal RNA". It matches the Rfam family "Bacterial small subunit ribosomal RNA", at positions 524 to 776 of the family's 1533-position model. The record is from RNAcentral.
UACGUAGGGGGCAAGCGUUAUCCGGAUUUACUGGGUGUAAAGGGAGCGUAGGUGGUGCGGUAAGUCAGAUGUGAAAGCCCGGGGCUCAACCCCGGUACUGCAUUUGAAACUAUCGCACUGGAGUGCAGGAGAGGUAAGUGGAAUUCCUAGUGUAGCGGUGAAAUGCGUAGAUAUUAGGAGGAACACCAGUGGCGAAGGCGGCUUACUGGACUGUAACUGACACUGAGGAUCGAAAGCGUGGGGAGCAAACAGG